AUGUUGACGGUAGGAGCCUCCCAUGCAGUAGCAAAGCCCCACUGUGAGAUGACAAAGCCAGACCAUGAAGUCACAAGGCCAGGCAUUCAUGUGCAGUGUGGGGCAGGUGCCACAGGCAUCACUCCAGCAGCUGCAGGAGCAGCAGCAGUGUCAGCAGAGCCUGCACUGACAGUGCCAGCAGUGCCAGUGCCUGCAGUACCUGUAGUGCCUGCAGUGACAGUGAUGGUGACAACAGUGAGCAGUGACAGUGCCAGCAGUGGCAGUUCCAGCAGUACCAGCUGUGCCAGCAGCAGCAGUGACAGCAUGGUGCAGGCGCGGUGGGCCCUGGCCCUCAUCCUCCUCCUGGUGGCCCUGCCAGCCAGGGGUGUCGGGGCUGCUCCGUGGCGACCAUGGGCAGUGGCUCUGGAGCGUGAGCCUGUGGAUAAGAAGGCACCUCAGGAAGACCAUCAGGCAGUGCCAGUCCCCGGGGAAAACACCGGGGCCGUUCAGCCAACAGGAGUGUCAGGUCCAGAGUAUCAAGAUGGAAGGGGACAAUCUUCCCAGGACACAUCCAAAGUGCUACAUGAAAUCCUUGGACAGCUGAAGACAAUAGCACGAGGCGCCUCGCAGCUUCGAGAGCCGGCUCUGAGCGCCCCAACAGCCGGGCAGAAGCCAGCAGAAUAUUUGCAGGAGCGUUUAAAUAAAGAUCAGCAGCACAAUCGACUGGAUUGUACUGGCAGCAAACCCAG
Molecule: long non-coding RNA, 728 nt
Filed under: Manacus vitellinus (golden-collared manakin)
Lineage: Eukaryota; Metazoa; Chordata; Aves; Passeriformes; Pipridae
Description: lncRNA (ENSMVIG00005010176.1)
Source: RNAcentral